CUUGUACAACAAAGCGGGAGAGACGUGCGGAGGCAGCGAGACGGUGGAGCAGAGGAGACGAAGAACAAGGACGGCAGAGUAGCAGGAGAGAGAGAGAGAGAGACAGAGAGACAGAGAAGAGUUUAGCUUGCGUGAAUAGGAGGAAGAAAAGGGGAUACCUGUGGACGGAAAAAAAAUCAGAGAAAGCAGGCGACGCAGAGAAACAACAUUCUGAUGGGAGGCGCCGCCAACAGAGAGUGAGCCGAAAGAGAGGGAAGCAGAGGGAGUGCGAAAAGGUUUCGUUUUUUAGAGUUUUUGGUGGAAGCUUUCAACAGAGAGUGACAAGAGAAACAGAGAGGAAGUAAGAGGCAUAUCGGCUACUGAAAUCUGGGUUUUGAGGUUUAAGCGGAAAGGAAGAUUAGAGAGUAGGGGGAGAGAUUUUCCGGGUUUCACAACUUAGUAAGAGUGAGAGCCAAUAGGGAGGGGAUUGUUGGUUCUCUAAUAGGAUAAGCAAAGAAGAGACAGAGAAGAAGAAAACAGGAGAGAAGAAGAGGAAAGACAGGGAAGCAAUUUCGGUUUUUGGAAGAGUUACUCAAUGGAGGCACUAUUAGGGUUUGGAGAAGAUGCUGUAGCCAAAGGUGAUCAUGAGCGACCAUCAUCGUCUGACAACUUCAAAUUGGUGCCUUGGAUGAGCUGGGAUGAAUGGGAAUUUGUCAGAGAAUCUCUAUUCUCUUCAUCUGCUGACAAAGUUGCCUCUGCACUUAAAAGAAUAUCAACAUGGCGGAUGAGAGGAUGUAUACCAGCUGCAGUUGAUGUCACUGCUUCAAUCAUUGAAAUUCAGCAGAAAGAUGGUUUCAUUACGUAUCAAUAA
Carica papaya (papaya) is the source of this 850-nucleotide non-coding RNA. Lineage: Eukaryota; Viridiplantae; Streptophyta; Magnoliopsida; Brassicales; Caricaceae. The record is from RefSeq and is a predicted model, not a curated record.